Molecule: ribosomal RNA, 714 nt
Filed under: Bowringia callicarpa
Lineage: Eukaryota; Viridiplantae; Streptophyta; Magnoliopsida; Fabales; Fabaceae
Description: eukaryotic LSU rRNA
Rfam family: 5.8S ribosomal RNA (bases 303-458)
Source: RNAcentral
AUUUAGAGGAAGGAGAAGUCGUAACAAGGUUUCCGUAGGUGAACCUGCGGAAGGAUCAUUGUCGAUACCUCACGACCAGUGCAACAUGCGAACUCGUUUAUUUAUCGUGCGGCGGCUCGAGAGGCCAAUCACUCUCGACUGCCUCGUGUUAAGAGGUGCGCGCCACGUGCCGUCUCCUCUUGGCAGAAAACAAACCCCGGCGCUGGAUGCGCCAAGGAAUCGAAAUGCGUUUACCACACGCCCCCGUCGACCCGGAGACGGUGCUCGCGCGGGCGGCGUCGGGACAAAUGAAAAUUCAAAACGACUCUCGGCAACGGAUAUCUCGGCUCUUGCAUCGAUGAAGAACGUAGCGAAAUGCGAUACUUGGUGUGAAUUGCAGAAUCCCGUGAACCAUCGAGUCUUUGAACGCAAGUUGCGCCCGAAGCCACUAGGCUGAGGGCACGCCUGCCUGGGUGUCACGCGUCGUUGCCCCAACGCCAAAUGCCCAUUCUAGGCACUGAGCGGGGCGAACGUUGGCUUCCCGUGGGCGUUGCCCCACGGUUGGUCGAAAAUCGAGUCCGUGGCGGAGUACGUGUCAUGACAUAUGGUGGUUGAGGUAAAAGCUCGAGCCCGGUCGUGCGCUCGUCUCCGUGGAUCGUGGGCUCUUGACCCUCGUGCAUCUUUUGAUCGCCCGUAACGAGACCUCAGGUCAGGCGAGGCUACCCGCUGAGUUUA